ACAGUGAGUGGUUUAACUGCAGUACCGCUGAAAUUAGACUGGAAAGUCCUGUAAAUGAAACAAACGGGGUCAGAUGUUGCUGAAAUGUUAAAAGUAACGUAACUGUAUUUCUUUGUAGUGAAAUGAAAACUUUACAAAACUUUACACUUAAAGUUGGGGUAGUCACCUCUGACAUAGAAUUAAUAGUUUUGAAAAAAAUUAACUUUACUUCCUUCAACAGUGUCUGCAAACAUCAGAAAACACAGUCCAAUUUAACUCACACAUCUGGGCUUUGCAGAAACUCCCACAGUGGGAGACUCUUGUGUAGGUUUGUAAACAUAUGUGCAUUUGUUGUUUGAGUUUUUUACUGCACGUGUGAUUGUUUAUCUAUUUAUGUGUUGUAUUCAUUUAUAUUGAAGUAGCUUCUGUGAACACCUGCUGCAGAUGGCAGUCCCGCACACCUGCUCAGGUGUUGUUCCAUAUAAUGUGGCUAAUGAGACCUCCGCACAGGUUCAAGUUUUGCAGCACCAUGUUUGAAAUAAUGCACUAAUUAGAAUAAAGUGGUUAUUAGCAGUCUGUGCGAGCCCACAAACACCCGCAGGAAGACAAGCAGCAUCUACGCCUGGAUCUAACAGAACUAAUCAAUGUUUUUAUAUCAACCGUAUGCAUUAAUUUAUCAUUUCAAACACACGUUUCUUUGUUUAAGACUCCAGACUUUCAGUUAAUGAAUAAACGAUUGCUUAUGUUAAUAAACCUCGGCUCUGCAGAGUGGAUUUCUCUGUUUUGAUUACUGUUGUGGUCCACAAUUCUGCUCCAAUAAACCCCAUUUCCUGCAGUUGUUCAGAAAAGUUAAUACCUAACUCAUGAAAGAAGAAUUUAGCAGCUAAAGAAACAGAUUGUCUUCGAGGGCUUGAUGGAGGCUGAAGUAAAUGCAGACUGAGUAUUGUAAUUGCAUUCGUCAGACAGAAACGCGACUCCAAAUGAAUUUGAAUGUUUCUCUGUCUGCUCAAAGUGAAAAACAGACAAACUUUGGCCAAAACUUUCAAAACCAGAAAGAGUUUUGAGUUUUACUGAAUCAAUGCUGAGUUUAAACACUGUGUUUAUUUACAGGAGAUUAAGACAUGUCUGUGUUGAAUUAUCUGUUAAAGUGUUGAUUUAAUUCUCUCAGGUUUGGACUUGGCUGCUUUUUUAUGCUGCGUUCGAGUCAGAUGUUCAAGCUGGGAAUGAUGACACACCCGAGUUCGGAAACAAGAUGGUUACAUCUUAGAAAGUUAUUUUAGCGCUUGUUAUUUAAGUUAUUUUAAGUUAUUCUAGCAUCCCCUUUUGUAGAUGUAGCCAUCUUGUUUCCGCCUCCGAUUUCGCUUUUUUCCGACUAGGUAACUGAAACGCUGGGAACUUCCGAGGAAACUCGAAUGCAGCAUUACACCCUGCUGUGUAUUAUAUCAUUUCAAAGAUUCAUGUACUUCCUGUGUUAAAUAUUAGACUUAUAGCUUCCUUUCAGAAUAAAAGCUGAUGUGAUCUUGACGCCACAUCAUGGCUGUUAAACUUUUCACUCUACAGCAGCAGAAAAUGUUACCAGCAACAAUGUUCACCUCUGUGACCUCCGCUACAUCUCAGGCACAAAUAUUUGAAGUUAAAAUGAGUAGAAAUGGGGAUAUUGAGUGAUAUAAAUAUAUCAGUGAGAGUCUCGAUGGAAACGCCCCCUUGUUCAUCCCUCCAGUUGGUGAAGUGACGGUGGCCUCCGAGGACAAGAAGCUUGAGCGAAACAAAAGUAUGAUCUACUGUUUGUCAAGUUUUAUUAUCGAUCAUUAAAAAUGCUUUUGCACCCAUCAACAACAACAACUCCUCCUCUUCAUCACCUACAGGUACAUUAUUGUGUCUCUGACAUGCUGUGGUACAAAUCCAAGAUGGUGGCCUACAUAGAAGGGGACCCACUUGAGUAGGGUGACAAUACAUCCUCUUUUACCCGGACAUGUCCUCGUUUUUGGGGGCUGUCCGGGUUUGUCUGGGGAAGUUUAUAAAAUCCUUCAAAUGUCUGUGGUUUUGUACAGAAAUUUCGAGUUUGUUUCAUGAUAACUUAGUGAGUUCGAAGCGCGUAAAAGACACUCGAGUCGACCCGAAAAACUCUCAAAAUUAACUUUGUGCGACUUCGUGACUCCGCCCCAGUGUAGAGGUGUCCUCUUUUGGGAAGUCCGAAUAUGGUCACCCUAACACUUCUAACAAGUCUGUUUUGUUAAACAUCUCUAGAUUCUACAGACUGCACCUUUAACUGUCCCAUAUUAUAGAGGCACCACUUCUUUUGACAACAGAUAACUUACAUGACCCUUAAGUGUCACUUUGACUCUAAGCUGCACAGUUACAUUAAAAAAAUGAUACGCUGUUUCUUUGUUUUUUUAUUGAUAUUUCUAAUCAGAGUCAUCCGGCAGUUUUAGAGACUUUCUUUUAUUGUUUAUUAUCAUUUAAAGAAGUCAAAAGACAAAGACGUCUUGCCGAGCCUGGACCAAAACAUUGGCCUGAAAUGUUCAAUCAAAUAAAGCAUCAAACACGUCCAAGCUAGAGUUGAUAGAGUUAAACAGAGAGGUGGAUUAUCUGAGUUUAUAGACACAUGAUCUCAUUAUAGCUACAAAUGUAACUCACCAUACUGUUUACUGGCUUUUGCACGUCUGAUUCAACAGAAACAGAAGCGGUGUACUCAAGUGCAAACAAAAGAGCAAAGACUCAGAUAGACUGCACUUGACCAAAGCUUUAAAAUCGGAUGUCCAUCAGCAGAAAAAAAAACAUCAGAUUCCCUGGAAAGCCACAAAGAAAACACAGGAGGAACACGAGGAGACGAGAGACGAACUGAUACAGAAAGAAAACAGAAAAACCAAAUACACACAAGGUGAUCAAACACAGGAGUUAGAGUAGACCAACAUACGCUACAAGAUAAUGGUUCCAUUUUAAGGUCUGAUUCCCUCUUUAGACAAAAGUCAGUAAAAGCCCGAUUACAAGAUGGUUGUAAAGACGCUCCUCUCAGAUUGGCCUGUGGUGUGUUCGUGUGUUUAGAGCGAUUUUUCUUCCCUCAGAUCUGAGCAGAAGACGAUCAGAGCCUCCCUGACUAGAAAUUAUAAAUAUUAAACAUGUUCAAUAUUUACCAUGAGAAGUCCUCGUGUGCGGGCGAACCCUGAAGACAGGCGAGCAGCUUACCAUUAAAAGUGCAUGAGACUUUAAAAAUCUUCUUAAGGUGAAAUACACCGAAAAAAACACCUGAAAUGUGUGUUUCUAGAAAAUGAUUUUCAAUCAGCGAGCUCAUGAAGGUUUCCAGGGAAGGUAAAUGCAUUUCAAGCAUCAGUAAUUCUCAUCAUGAUUCUUGGAUUACAGGAAAGCCAAAAAAAUCGUGAUUGUGAUUAAAGUGCAGUCUAUUGUGCAGCCCUGUACGUCGGCGUGUGGGUUUAGUGUGGACCCCCUCAGGGUGAAGAGUGAAGCAUCUUAGCGCUCACCUUGAAAGCAGCUGACGCCUCCCAAUGGAGCUCCCGACAGGUAAGUCAAUCACCUCUGUCUGCUGUCACACAAACCGGGGCGUCAUCUGCAUAAAACCGAAAGAAAAAGGCUGCAGACAUGAAUAAAGAAAAGCUGCAGCUGAUGUAUUAUGGAGGAAUAUAAAU
Xyrichtys novacula (pearly razorfish) is the source of this 3623-nucleotide non-coding RNA. The record is from the annotation of a GenBank genome assembly. Lineage: Eukaryota; Metazoa; Chordata; Actinopteri; Labriformes; Labridae.